CCCUUCGGUUCGGAAUAGCUCAGGGAAACUUGAAUUAAUACCGGAUACGGCCGGGAGGCGAAAGAUUUAUCGCCGAAGGAUUGGCCCGCGUUCGAUUAGCUAGUUGGUGAGGUAACGGCUCACCAAGGCGACGAUCGAUAGCUGGUCUGAGAGGAUGAUCAGCCACAUUGGGACUGAGACACGGCCCAAACUCCUACGGGAGGCAGCAGUGGGGAAUAUUGGACAAUGGGCGCAAGCCUGAUCCAGCCAUGCCGCGUGAGUGAUGACGGCCUUAGGGUUGUAAAGCUCUUUCGCUAGGGACGAUAAUGACGGUACCUAGACAAGAAGCCCCGGCUAACUUCGUGCCAGCAGCCGCGGUAAUACGAAGGGGGCUAGCGUUGUUCGGAAUUACUGGGCGUAAAGCGCGUGUAGGCGGGCUUUUAAGUCAGGGGUGAAAUGCCAAGGCUCAACCUUGGAACUGCCUUUGAUACUGGAAGUCUUGAGUCCGGGAGAGGUGAGUGGAACUGCGAGUGUAGAGGUGAAAUUCGUAGAUAUUCGCAAGAACACCAGUGGCGAAGGCGGCUCACUGGCCCGGAACUGACGCUGAGACGCGAAAGCGGGGGAGCAAACAGGAUUAGAUACCCUGGUAGUCCACGCUGUAAACGAUGGAUGCUAGCCGUUGGGGAGCUUGCUCUUCAGUGGCGCAGCUAACGCUUUAAGCAUCCCGCCUGGGGAGUACGGUCGCA
RNAcentral lists this ribosomal RNA (725 nucleotides) under uncultured Alphaproteobacteria bacterium. RNAcentral's name for it is "bacterial SSU rRNA". It matches the Rfam family "Bacterial small subunit ribosomal RNA", at positions 129 to 890 of the family's 1533-position model. Lineage: Bacteria; Pseudomonadati; Pseudomonadota; Alphaproteobacteria. The record is from RNAcentral.